UUAAAAGCCUGGGAUGCUAAAGUCGUCAAAUAUCCUGCAGGACAGGUACAGCAUGACAAGAGGCACCACACGUGCCUCCCCAAAAAUGCCUUUACACGCUGUAAUUUGCAAAGGUACCUCAGUAGGGACUGAAGGGUAGUUCAGAUUUCAUGGUCUAUUUUGAAACAAUUGGCUAAC
This 177-nucleotide small RNA is filed under the name Manacus vitellinus (golden-collared manakin). Its description in RNAcentral is "TUC338 (ENSMVIG00005002684.1)". Lineage: Eukaryota; Metazoa; Chordata; Aves; Passeriformes; Pipridae. The record is from RNAcentral.